GGGCAAGUCCUACACAACCAGCUCCCUUUGAAUCCUCCAGAGCGGGAACGCAGCAAAGGUAUUAGGUUGUAGCGGUGUGAUGUAGGUAGCUUGCCUUUU
This 99-nucleotide signal recognition particle RNA is filed under the name Lutibacter sp. Its description in RNAcentral is "signal recognition particle sRNA small type". It matches the Rfam family "Bacteroidales small SRP". From Rfam's summary of the family: The non-coding component of the signal recognition particle in Bacteroides The record is from RNAcentral. Lineage: Bacteria; Pseudomonadati; Bacteroidota; Flavobacteriia; Flavobacteriales; Flavobacteriaceae.